GCCCUAUGUGCUAUAAUGCUGAGCCAAGGACGCUCCGCCUUCUCUAUAGAAGCAGUCAACUGAGUUCUGAACGAAUUAGCUCCUUGGUAAUGGCUUAAUCUAUAGAUAGAAAGCCCUAUGAUGGGAAACUACCACGUUAGGUUUGGAGAGAGAUGGGACCGGUUAUAUAAUAGGGGAAGCAGAUGCAAGCUUUUUCUUUCAAUAGCCGGCCAAAUGACUACAGGAUCAUCGGUCUACUCUACCUCAAUUCACCAUUUCGAACCUUAUACAGAAGGUUUUUCCGUACCAGCUCCUUCUACCUAUACCGCAGUUGAAGCACCUAAAGGAGAAUUUGGUGUCUUUCUGGUCAGUAAUGGAAGCAAUGGUUGGCUAAUUUAUUCCUAUUUUGGGAUAUAGAUCUCGGUUUUGGGAGAUUUUGGAGAGGAAUUUCACCACAUCUGAAGCACGAAUCUUGAGGAAUAAAUUAGCCAACAUGUUGUGUCCUAUUAGCUACAUGUUACUUGUCGAGUACGACGUAUAGGCAUGGUGACGAGUAUCUAUACGUUGGUGUCAAGCAUGACCGUGAGUCUUAAAUCGAAUUGUUUUGUUCAUAAAUAAUAUUACGAAUGCUUAAGUUGAUGAUUCUUUGUAUUGGGAAAGGAUUAUGAUUUUUCCCAUGGAAAUUACUUAUGAUUGCGUAUUGGUGUUAGUUGAGGUAGUUAGAUGCUGGAAAAGGUUUGGUUAUAGUUGUUUCUCCUUUGCCGAGAUGUAUUUACUUAUACUGUCGAUUCCCUUAUUGGGAUAACAUCGUUUCUUCAUUGAUCCCUUGCAGGAACUCUAUUUAUGAAUUGGUAUUGAAUUGUAUAUGUGGAUUGGGCUACGUGAUGCAACAAUGAUAUAAAUGGAUCAGGUUGCACGCUGCAACAGUGAUAUAAAUGGAUCGGAUUGCACGCUGCAAUAAUGAUAUAGUUGGAUCGGGUUGCACGCCGCAACGGUGAUAUAAAUGGAUCAGGUUGCAUGCCAACAAUGAUAUAGUUGGAUCGGGUUGCAUGCCGCAACAAUGAUAUAGUUGUAUCGGGUUGCACGCCACAAUAGAGAUAAAUGAUAGGGAUCGGAUUGCACGCUGCAACAAUGUUCUUAUUUGUUUUGCUAUAAAUCCUAAAUUGUUCUCAUGCAUUUCUCGUAAUUACAGUUGCUAUUGAUAUUCACCGCAGUAUAUACCCCCUCCCAACUUUACUUUUUUUAUUUUUGUGUUAUUUUUUGCUGCAUAUUAUAUACUGCAUAGGUUUAUUUGGAGUCUGGUCCUAUCCUCGUCAGUACUUCACCGGGGUUAGACUAGGCAUUUACCAGCACAUGGGGUUAGUUGUGCUGAUACUACACUCUGCACUAUGCGCAGAUCUCGAAGCGGCAACUUUUGAACAGUAGCAUUGGGUGGCUGCCUUCAGUCCAUCUAGAGAUCCCGAGGUAGUCCUGAAGACGUUUGCAGGACCGUCGUUCUCUUCUAUCUUUAGUUGUAUUCUAUUUUCAUCUAUUUCUGAGAUAGACAGUAUUUUUCUUUCAGACAUUUGUAGGUAGUAUUCGUAGACAGUCCGUGAUAUUGUUACACCGGAUUCUGGGUAGAGAUGUAUGUUGAGUAGUUGUACUGGUUAUGGUUAUUUCUCAUAUUAUGUCUUCCGCUUGUUCUUAUUUAUCGUUAGUGAUUCACUAUUGAUGACAUGUUAUUUUAAAUUUUUUAACAAGGGGUAAAAAUGAGUUAGAAAUUCUACAAUGCCCGGCUUGCCUAGCUUCCACAAGUAGGCGCCAUCACGACUCCCAAGGAUAGGAAAUACGGUCCAUGACAAGCUGGUAUCAGAGCUCUAGGUUACAUAGGUCUCACAAUUCAAGGACAAGCUUAGUAUAGUUUGAGGGAUCAGUAUAGAGACGUCUGUAUUUAUCCCCCAGAGGCUAUAGAGUUAGGAACAUUAUUUCUUUUUUGUCAUGCGAUUUGGUUUCUCAAUGCUAAUUGAAUUCUUACUGUGUUCUGUCGCAGAUGGUGAGGACACACUCUUUCUCAUUAUGUGAUCAGCAACCCGAGCCCCCAACAACAGUUCCCAUGAGGUGCAGACGGUGAGGCCGAGGCUGUGCUAGAGGCCGAGAUAGGGCAGUGCUCAGCCCAGAGUAGUAGCACUAGUGGCGGAGCCUCAGGUUGACUUUGUUGAUGAGGUUCCGGCCCAGACAGUUCGAGUGUGCCCAGCUCAUGUCCUAGAGGAGUUUAUUGCUAUCCCGGUACUCCAGGAUGCUCUGGUCCGUCUAGUGGGCCUUAUGGAGAGUGUCACCCAGGCAGGCUUGCUUUCUGUAACGCUAGUUGUCUCUCAGGCUAGAGGAGGAGCCCAUAUUCUUGCUACUUUCACUCUGGAGUAGAUGGCUCCCUAGCUUCAGACUCCAGCAGCUCAACCAGUUAGAGUAGUUCAGCCGAGUGUGGUAGCUCAGACCAAUAAUGGAGCAGCUAUGUCUGCCGAUGCUUUGUGGAGAUUGGACAGGUUCACCAAGAUCUUUACUACUACCUUCAGCGGUGCAUCUUUGGAGGAUCCCUAGUAUUAUCUAGACAGGUGCCAUGAGGUUCUCAGGAACAUGGAGAUAAUAGAGACCAAUGCGUUCAAUUUUGCUGCUUUUUGCUUAUUUGGAUUUGCCAAGACUUGGUAGAGAGACUAUUGUUUGGGUAGCCCAUCCGGAUCACCAGCUUUGACUUAGGACCAAUUUACUCACAUAUUUCUGGAGAAUUUUCUCCCUAUCACUCAGAGAGAGGCCUAUCAGAGGCAAUUUGAGUGUCUCCAGCUGGAUUCUAUGAGAGUUACUCAGUAUAAGAUCAGAUUCAUCGACUUGGCCCAUCAUGCUCUUGUUAUACUUCUCAACGACAGAGAGACAGAGGGGGGGGAGAGAGAGAGAGAGAGAGAGAGAGAGAGAGAGGGGGUGAUGAGGUUCAUUGAGGCCCUUAACCAGCCUAAUCGACUUCAGAUGGCUAGGGAGAUAGGGAGUGAGAUUUCUUUUCAGGAGGCAGCCAAUAUGGCCAGAAGGGUGGAGAUGGUUCUGUCGCAGGGAGGUGGUCAUGAGCCGGACAAGAGGCCUCGUCAUUUAGGCCGAUUCAGUGGUGCCUCGUCUGGAAGCAGGGAUUCAUAUGGUAGGGGCCAUCUACCUAGGACCUUUCAGUCAGCACUUCAGGUUUCUCACGAUACUUCAAGUGGUCGUGGUUCUCAUAUGUAAUAUUCUGAUCAGUAGUCCUACAGUACACCACCAGCUCCUAUGAAUGCACCAUCGCUCCAUAGUUUUCAAGGUGGUCAUUUAGGUCACUAAGGUCAGUCUCAGUUUCCUCAGCCGCAACACUCAGGUGGAUGCUAUGAGUGUGGUGAGUAUGGUCAUAUCCGGAGGACUUGUCCGAGAUUAGUGGGUACUCAGUCGCAGUAGAAGGGUUCUCGUGCUAUGGUUCAGACACCAGGUGUUCCAUCGCCCAUUUCGCCAGUUAAGGGUGGGGUAGAGGUGCUAGAGGUAGAGGUAGAGGUGUUAGCAGUGGAGCUCAGACCGCUAGAUGAGGAGGCCAACCAGGUGUAGGCCGUCUUAGAGAUGUAGUCCAGGGUGGUGGAGCCCAGCCGUGAUGUUAUGCUCUUCCAGCCAGGCCUAAGGCUGAGGCUUCUGAUGCAGUUUCGUAUGUACUAUUCUGGUUUGUGGCAGAGAUGCUUCAGUUUUAUUUGAUCCAGGGUCUACCUACUCCUAUGUGUCAUCUUAUUUUACACCGUAUCUGGUCAUACCUAGUGAUUUUUGGGUGCCCCUUGUAUAUGUGUCUACAACGGUGGGUGAUUCUAUUAUAGUAGAUUGAGUCCAUCGUUCUUGUAUUGUGGUGAUUGAGGGUCUUGAGACUCGAGUAGAUUUGCUUCUUCUAGACAAGCUUGAUUUUGAUAUUAUAUUGGGUAUGGACUGGUUAUCACCUUAUCAUGCUAUCUUGGAUUGGCAUGCCAAGACUGUGACCUUAGCCUUGAAGGGUUUGCCUCAUUUAGAGUGGAUAGGGACUCCUGGUAUUUUACCCGUAGUGUUAUCUCGUAUAUGAAGGCUUGGUGUAUGGUUGAGAAGGGGUGUUUGGCCUAUUUGGCCUAUGUUUUUUAUUUUAGUGCUAAGGUCCUUUCUACUGAUUCUAUGCAUGUUGUUUGAGAGUUCCCUGAGGUGUUUCCUUCAGACCUGCCAGAUAUGCCACCCAACAGGGAUAUUUAUUUAUGCAUUAGUUUGGCUCUGGGAAAUUAGCCCAUCUAUAUCCUGGCGUAUCAUAUGGCCCCACCUGAGUUGAAAGAGUUCAAGGAGCAGUUGCAAUACUUGCUUGAAGAGGAUUUCAUUAGACCUAGUGUUUUACCUUGGUGUGCGCUAGUGUUGUAUGUUAAGAAAAAUAAUGGAUCAAUGCGAACGUGUAUAGAUUACCGGCAAUUGAACAAGGUUACGAUCAAGAAUAAGUAUCAUCUGUCGAGGAUUGAUGAUUUGUUUGAUCAGCUUCAGGGUGUCAAGGUAUUUUCAAAUAUUGACUUGAGAUCCGGCUACCAUCAGUUGAGGAUUAGGGAAUCCUCUGUCCCUAAGAUAGCGUUUUGCACUCGGUAUGGGAAUUAUGAGUUCUUGGUAAUGUCAUUCGGGUUGACAAAUACCCCGAAAACUUUUAUGGAUUUGAUGAACCGAGUGUUCAGGCCUUACUUGGAUUUGUUCAUGAUAGUAUUUAUUGACGAUAUUUUGAUCGAUUACCUCAAUCAGGAUGAGCACGAGCAGCAUCUUAGAGUGGUACUUCAGACUUUGAGGGGCAGUCAGUUGUACGCCAAGUUUUCGAAGUGAGAGUUCUGGUUGAGCUUAGUUGCAUUCCUGGGUCAUGUCAUAUCAGCAGAGGGUAUUUAGGUUGAUCCGAAGAAGAUUGAGGCAGUCAAGAACUGUCCUAGACCAUCAUUAGCUACAGAGAUUCGGAGUUUCUUGGGUUUGGCAGGCUACUAUCGUCGAUUUUUGGAGGGGUUUUCAUAUAUCGCAGCCCCGAUCACCAUGUUGACCUAGAAAGGUGACCGAUUUAGGGGUUCAAACGAGUGUGAGGCGAGCUUUCAGAAGCUCAAGAUAGCUUUGACUACGGCACCCGUAUUGGUUUUACCCACAGAUUCAGGGCCAUAUACAGUUUAUUGUGAUGCAUCUCGUAUUGGACUUGGUGCAGUGUUGAUGCAAGAUAGCAAGGUCGUUGCCCAUGUUUCGCAAAAAUUGAAGAUUCAUGAGAAAAAUUAUCCGGUUCAUGAUUUGGACUUAGCAGCCAUUGUUCACGCGUUGAAGAUUUGGAGGCAUUAUCUGUAUGCCGUGGCAUGUGAGGUGUUCACGGAUCACAAGAGUUUGCAGUAUCUGUUAAAGCAAAAGUAGUUGAAUUUGAGGCAGAGAAGGUGGUUGGAGCUAUUAAAAGACUAUUAUAUCACCAUCUCAUUUCAUCCGAAAAAGGCCAAUGUGGUGGCUGAUGCUUUAAGUAGGAAGUCAGCUAAUAUGGGCAGUCUUGCUUAUAUUCCGAUCAGUGAGAGAACACUUACUUUGGAUGUUCAUGAUUUGGACAAUCAGUUUGUGAGGUCGGAUGUUUCUAAGCUCAGUCGUGUUUUGGCUUGCACAGUCGCUCGUUCUUCACUGUUUUCACGGAUCACAAGAGUCUGCAGUAUUUGUUCAAGCAGAAGAUGUUGAACUUGAGACAGAGAAGGUAGUUGGAUCAAUUAAGGACUAUGAUAUCACCAUCUUAUAUCAUCCAGGCAAGGCCAAUGUGGUGGCCAUUGCUUUGAGUAGGAAGUCAGUUAAUAUGGGUAGUCUUACUUAUAUUCCGGUAGGUGAGAGACAACUUGUUUUGGAUGUUCAUGAUUUGGACAAUCAGUUCGUGAGGUUGGAUGUUUCAGAUUGCAACCACAUAUUUGCUUGCACGAUCGCUCGUUCUUCUUUAAUGGAACAUAUCCGAGAUUGGAAGUAUGAUGAUCCCCAUUUGUGUAUCCUUAGAGACACAGUGCAGCACGGAGGUGCCAAACAAGUUACCUUAGGUGAUGAUGGAGUUUUAAGAUUGCAGGUCAAGUUUGUGUGCCUAAUGUGAAUUGACUUUGAAAGUUGAUUUUAGAGGAGGCACAUAGCUCCCGGUACUCUAUUUAUCGGGGCGCUGCUAAGAUGUAUUAGGAUUUGCGACAGCAUUAUUGGUGGCAGAGAAUGAAGAAGGAUAUCAUUGCAUAAGUGGCUCUGUGUUUGAAUUUUCAGCAGGUUAAGUACGAGCAUUAGAGGCCUGGUGGUUUGUUCCAGAAGAUUGAGUUUCCUGAGUGGAAAUGGGAGCGGAUCACUAUGGACUUUGUUGUCCGACUCCCACAGACUCAGAGGAAGUUCGAUGCAGUGUGGGUUAUUGUUGAUAGGCUGACCAAGUCAGCGCAUUUCAUUCAUGUGGCAGUCUCAUAUUCUUCUGAGAGGUUAGUUGAGAUCUAUAUCCGGGAGAUUAAUCAUCUUCAUGGUGUGCUCGUGUUUAUUAUUUUGGACUGAGUUACGCUGUUUAUCUCACAUUAAUUGAGAGCAGUUCAACGAUAUUUGGGCACACGGGCUGAGUUGAGCACAACAUUUAAUCAUCAGACGAACAGGCAGUCUGAGCGGACUAUUCAAAUUUUAUAGGAUAUGCUCCGAGCUUGUGCUAUUGACUUUGGAGGCUCAUGGGAUCAGUUUUUGCCUUUAGCAGAGUUUGCCUACAACAACAACUACCAAUCAAGUAUUCAUAUGGAUCUUUAUGAGGCUUUAUAUGGUAGGUGGUAUCGGUCUCCGUUUGGAUAGUUUGAGCCGGGAGAGGCUCGGUUGUUGGGUACGGAUCUGGUUCGGGAUGCCUUGGACAAAGUUAGGAUUAUUUAGGACAGGCUUCGUAUAUUUUCGGUCCAGGCAAAAGAGCUAUGCCGACUGCAAGGUUCGAGAUUUGGCUUUCAUGGUCGGUGAGCAGGCAUUGCUUCAAAUGUCUCAUAUGAAGGGCGUGAUGAUAUUUGGGAAGAAGGGCAAGCUUAGCCCUAGGUUCAUUGGCUCGUUUGAAAUUCUUGAUUGAGUGAGAGCGGGGCUUACAGACUUGCAUUGCCGCCGAGCUUAGCGGUCAUGCAUCCAGUGUUUCAUGUGUCCAUGCUUUGGAAAUAUCACAGUGAUCCAUACCACGUGUUAGAUUUCAGCACUGUCAAAUUGGACAAGGACUUGCCUUACGAGGAGGAGUCGCUAGCUAUUCUAGACUAGCAAGUUCGUCAGUUGAGAUCGAAAAGUUUUCCUUCAGGUCGUGUUCAGUGGAGAGGUCAGCCUGUUGAGGCAUCGACCUGGGAGUCCGAGUCUGAUAUGUGGAGCCUUUAUCCCCAUCUUUUCCCUGACUCAGGUACUUCCUUCUUAUAUUUGCUCGAGAAUAAAUGAUUGUUUUAGAGGUGGAGAAUGUGAAACGAAUUCUGCAUUCUGAGGCCUUAUAAACCUCUUUUAGCAUCACCUUGAUUUGCGUUCACAAUCCAGGCACGUAGCCAAAAAGCUAUUAUGUGAAAACCUAUGAAAAAUGUUAUAAUUUUAAUUUAAAAUGCAUUUAAGUUCACUUCGGCCAAUAUUUUAGGUAAACGGACCCUGACCUGUGAUUUGAUAGUUCCGGAGGGUCCGCAGAAAAAUAUGGGACUUCGGCUUAUUCCCAGAAUUGAAUUCCGAGGUCCCAAGUCCGAGAAAUAAGUUUUUAAAGAAAAUUGUUUUUUAGAAAUUUUUAUGAGUUUUGGAAAUGAAAUACAUUUAAAAUUUGAUGGUAUUGGGCCCAUAUUCUGUUUUGGAGAUCGGUACAGAUUUUAUAUGUGAAAUAAGAUAAGUUUGUGAAAUUUGGUAAGAAACGUGAGUCAUUUGAGGUGAUCCGGGCCCGUAGUUGUGAAAAUUCCUACUUUGAAAGUUUUGAGAUUUUUUUUAGAUUUCUAUGCUAAACUUGUUGUUUAAGAGGUUAUUUUGGCAAUUUGAUCACACGAAUAAGUUUAUAUGAUGUUUUUCAGUUAGUACGUAUGUUUGGUUUGGAGCCCGAGGGCUCGAGUGAGUUUCGAAAAGUUUUGGACUUGGAAAAAGUUGCAGACUUUUGAUGUUCAGUGCAUAGGGUUUUUGUUCUUUACGUUCGCAUGGGCCCACUCGCGAACGCGUAAGGCAAAUUCCCCAGGUACCAGUUUUCUUCUUCACGAACACUAAGCCUGAGACGCAAAUGCGAGGCUGAGAGGGGAGUGCCUUCACGAACGCACCCAGGCACUCGCGAACACAUAGACUAAUUACCUGGGUUAGGGGUUCACCUUUUUGUUCUAUGCGAAGGCGGCCAUUGGCCCGCGAACGAGAAGGCUCGAGGAGCCAAAGCUCCGUGAACGGUAUCCUGGGACCGCGAACGCAAAGGUCACCUAAGUUGGACUCAUAGCGAACACGAUGAAGGCCUGUCCAGUGAUUUUAAAAUUGAAACCAUAACCGAACUUAAUCAAAAUUUCAUAACUUCUUCUUCCAAACUCCAAAUUGGGCAAUUUUUUAAAGAGAAUUUUACUACAAAUCCAUAGGUAUGUAAUCUUAGACUCGAUUUCUUCAAUUUCCAUUAACACCUAUUAGAUUUCUAGGCUUAAAUCAUGUUCUGAAGCGUAGAAAAUUAGGGAUUUGGGUAGAGUUAUGGCUUUGUAUAUUUGGGAUUUAGACCUCAUUUUGGGGUCGAAUUUUGGAAAUAAUUAUAUAUUCGAGCUCGUGGGUGAAUGGGUGAUCGGGUUUUGGUCCGAACCUUGCGUUUUGACCAAGCGGGCCCUUGUCCAAUUUUUGACCUUUUGGGAAGAAUGAUAGGAAAUCUAAAAUUAAGCAUUGGAAUUGGAUUGUUUAGAGUGUAUUGAUGUUAUUAAAUCAAUUAUGUCUAGAUACAAUUGAUUUGGAGCCAAAUUCAAAAGGAAAAGCGGUUUCUGAGGCUUGAGUUGGCCAUGGAAGUUCGAGGUAAGUGUUCAGUCUAACCCUAGCUUGAGGGAUUAGGAGUUGUGUCCUAUUUUCUGCAUGUUACUUGUCGAGUACGACGUAUAGGCAUGGUGGCGAGUAUCUAUACGUUGGUUUCAAGCAUGACCGUGAGUCUUAAAUUGAUAUUAUCGUGUUCUUAAAUAAUACUACAGAUGCUUAAGUUGAUGAUUCUCUGUAUUGAGCAAGGAUUAUGAUUAUUCUCGUGGAAAUUACUUAUAAUUGGGCAUUGGUGUUAGUUGAGGUAGUUAGAUGUUGGAACAAGUUUGGCUAUAGCUGUUUUUCCCUUGCCAGGAUGUAAUUACUUAUACUGUCGAUUACCUUGCCGAGAUAGCGUUGUUUCUUCAUUGAUCCUUUGUUGGGACUCUAUUUGUAAAUUAUAUUUGAACAUAUAUAUGCAUCGGGUUGUGCGCCGCAACAAUGAUAUAAAUGGAUCAGGUUGCACACCCCAACAGUGAUAUAAAUGGAUUGGAUUGAACGCCAUAACAAUGAUAUAAUUGGAUCAGGUUGCACGUUGCAACAGUGAUAUAAGUAGGUCGAGUUGCACGCUGCAACAGUGAUAUAAAUGGAUCGGGUUACACGCUACAACAAUGAUAUCGUUGGAUCGGGUUGCACGCCGCAACAGUGGUAAAUGAUAGGGAUCAGGUUGCACGCUGCAACAGUAUUAUUAUUAUCUGUUUUGUUGUAAAUCCUAAAUUGUUCUCAUGUAUUUCUUUUAAUUACUAUUGUAUUGAUAUUCACCACAACAUGUACCCCCUCCUAACUUUACUUGCUUAUUUAUGUGUUAUUUUCCGCUGCAUAUUAUAUAUUGCACAGGUUUAUUUGGAGUCUAGUCCUAGCCUCGUCAUUACUUCGUCGGGGUUAGACCAAGCACUUAUCAGCACAUAGGGUCAAUUGUGUUGAUACUACACUCUACACUAUAUGCCGAUCCCAUAGCGGAAACUUUUGGACAGUAGCAUUGGGUGGUUGCCUUCAGUCCAGCUAGAGAUCCCGAGGUAGUCUUGCAAGCGUCCGGAGGAUCGGGGUUCUCUUCUAUCUUUAGUUGUAUAUUCUUUUCAUCUAUUUAUGAGACAAACACUACUUUUCUUUCAGACAUUUGUAUGUAGUAUCGUAGAUAGUCCGUGAUAUUAUGACAUCAGAUUUCGGGUAGAGAUGUAUGUUGGCGUAGUUGUACUGCUUAUGGUUAUUUUGCCAGAUUAAGUCUUUCGCUUGUUCUUAUUUAUCUUUAAUGAUUCACUGUUGAUUCAUGUUACUUUAAAUUGUUAAAAAGGGGUAAUAAAUGAGUUAGAGAUUUUACAAUGUGCGGCUUGCCUAUCUUUCACGAAUAGGCACCAUCACGACUCUCGAGGGUGGAAAAUCCAGACCGUUACACUGUGGAAGCCAUUCACCUUCUAAGGAGAAUGGUAGAGCAGUAUAGGGAGAGGAAGAGAGACUUACAUAUGAUGUUCAUUGAUCUAGAGAAAGCAUACGACAAUGUCCCAAUGGAGAUCCUAUGGAGGUGUUUAGAGGGUAAGGGCGUUUUGGUGGCUUACACUAGGGUGAUUAAGGAUAUGUAUGAUAGAACCAAGCCACGAGUGAGGACCAUGGGAUNNNNNNNNNNNNNNNNNNNNNNNNNNNNNNNNNNNNNNNNNNNNNNNNNNNNNNNNNNNNNNNNNNNNNNNNNNNNNNNNNNNNNNNNNNNNNNNNNNNNNNNNNNNNNNNNNNNNNNNNNNNNNNNNNNNNNNNNNNNNNNNNNNNNNNNNNNNNNNNNNNNNNNNNNNNNNNNNNNNNNNNNNNNNNNNNNNNNNNNNNNNNNNNNNNNNNNNNNNNNNNNNNNNNNNNNNNNNNNNNNNNNNNNNNNNNNNNNNNNNNNNNNNNNNNNNNNNNNNNNNNNNNNNNNNNNNNNNNNNNNNNNNNNNNNNNNNNNNNNNNNNNNNNNNNNNNNNNNNNNNNNNNNNNNNNNNNNNNNNNNNNNNNNNNNNNNNNNNNNNNNNNNNNNNNNNNNNNNNNNNNNNNNNNNNNNNNNNNNNNNNNNNNNNNNNNNNNNNNNNNNNNNNNNNNNNNNNNNNGGGGGGGGGGGGGAUUCAGGCCACUUUCCAGUUGUGACGGGGUUGCACCAAGGGUCGGCUCUUAACCCAUUCUUAUUUACCUUGACAUUUGACACAUUGACGAACCACAUUCAAGUGGGGCUUUGGUGUAUAUUAUUUGCGGAUGAUAUUGUUGUGAUUGACGAGACGCGAGGCGGAGUUAAUACGAGAUUGGAGGUUUAAAGACAAACCUUGGAGUCCAAAGGUUUCAAGUUGAGUAGGACCAAGAUCGAGUACUUGGAGUGCAAGUUCAGUGACGAAACUGAGGGUGCAAAUAUGGAAGUGAGACUUGAUACACAAGUCAUCCAUAAGAGAGUUUGUUUCAAGUACCUUGGGUCUUUUAUCCUAGUGAGAUUGAUGAGGAUUUUACUCAUCGCAUUGGAGCGGAGUGGAUGAAAUAAAGACUCGCAUCCGGUAUUUUAUGUUAUAAGAAUAUGCCACCUAAACUUAAGGUUAAAUUUUACAUAGUGAUUAUUAGACCUAACAUGUUGUACGGAACAUAGUAUUAGCCAAUCAAGAACUCUCAUUUCGAGAAGAUGAAGGUAAUGGAAAUGAUGAUGUUGAGAUGGAUGUGCGGACAUACCAUGAUUGAUAAGAUUAGAAAUGAAGCUAUUCGGGACAAGGUAGGAGUAGCCUCGAUGGAGGACAAGAUGCGAGAAGCGAGGCUUAGGUGGUUUGGGCAUGUGAAGAGGAGAAGCACACAUGCUCCAGUGACGAUGUGUGAGAAGUUAGCCUUAGGUGGUUUGAAGAGGGGUAGAGGUAGGCCAAAGAAGUAUUGGGGAGAGGUUAUUAUGCAGGACUUGGCGUUGCUUCACCACUGAUGAUAUGACCCUUGAUAGGAAGGUGUGGAGGUCGAGGAAUAGGGUAGAAGGUUAGUAGGUAGUCGAGUGUGUGUCUUCCCCAUACUGGUAGUAGUAGUUAGUCAGCCUUGGUUACUACAUAUUUCCUUAUUAUAUUGUUGUAAUGUCUGCUCUCUUAUUAUCCGUUUAUGGUUACUGCUUAUUUCUUAUUAUUUUAUUAUUGGUAUUAUUGUUGUUACUGCUUUCUUUUUCUUUCCUUGAGCCAUUGGUCUAUAGGAAAUAGACUUUUUACCCCACAUGGGUAGGGGUAAGGUCUACACAUUAUCCUUCCCAAACCUCAUUCGUAGGAUUAUACUGAGUUUGUUGUGGUUGUUAUUGUUGCUCCAUUUCAAUUAUCUACGGACAGCCACAUAAAACAAAAUAAUAAGACAUUGAAACAAUUCUUAUUUUACUCUCCUCCGUUGCUGCCAAAGGCAGUUGGCUGGCCACCAAAUAUUUAGUCGUCGCUGCCGAAAGCCGAAACCGGCAAUCUCCCUCUCCCUCUUUUUCUUCUUUUAUUUUUUCACAAGUUAGUAUUCCUUCCACUUCAUAAUAAGUGGUCAGUUACUUUUUCAUUUUUGUUCAAAAUAAGUAUUUAGCUAUAUAAUCAAGAAAAAGUUCAAUUUGUUUUACUCUUUUACCCUUAUGUACAUAUUCCUAAAUAGUUUUCUCACUCCUCACUAUAACUAUGUGCCCAAUAUUUAAUAAGGGUAAUUUAGUCAUACUAAAUAUCUUUGUAUAGGAUUUAGCAUUUUCUUAAUGGAUGUGCUAAAAGGAAAAUGAUCACUUAUUGUGAAUUGGAGGAAAUAUAUCCAAAAGGAAAUAUUAGAUUUGAGUGUUUCUCAGAUUUUAGUAUAUGUUAUACCUUGCCGCUGAAUUAAAUAGAACAAAACACACAUUAUGGCUGGAUUUUUUGUUCGUCUGCCCGAAUUUUGGUUGGUACAUUGUGAUUGUGUAUUAUAUGGUUGGAUUUUUGUUCGCCCUUAUUUCUUAGUUUUAAUAUAAUAUAUACGUUGUUUUGCUAGGCUAGAGACGCCAUUUUCGACGAAUUUUCUUUCUCUUCUUUGAAAUUGAGUCACAUAUAAUGAUAUAAGUACAUUCAAAUUUGAGUGUUUUCUAUAUUUUUCAAUGCAAAUACAAUUUUUUUUUGUAUUUUUGCCUAUAUUUAUGUGCUCCGGAGGUUAUUCUUUGUGGCAAAUCCCUGUAUUUUUUGGAUUUUUGUUAUUUGAAUACAUCCUAAAUACAGUAAAUUGACAGUGUAAAAGCAUCCACGAAUGAAUACAGAGUAUUUAAUACAGAAGAAUAUCGCCAUUUUUGUGAUUGUCGUUUGAAUACAAUCGAAUUGAAUACAAUGAAAUUGAAUGUAUAGCCGAAUUAAAUACAGUGAAUACAGUCGAAUUGAAUAGAGCGAUAUACACCCUAUUUUUUGAUUUUUUGUUAUUUGAAUACAACUGAAUUCAAUACAGUAAAAUUGAAUACAAUAUAAAAUAUAUAAAAAUAAAUAUAGCCGAAUAAAAUGCAGAGUAUACAACUGAAUUAAAUACAACAACACACAUCCCAUGUCAAAUAAUUAGUAGCUACGGAAUGUAAUUAGCUAACUACGUCCAUUAAUAACCCUCCCAACAAUACUCAUUUAUGAAAGCUUCCCACUCAAAAUCAAAGAUAAAAUUCUCUCUCCAUUAUUCUGACAGUUUUAACUUUAAGCUACACGCUAGGUAAUUUAUCUUAUUUAAUUUAGCAUUAGUUGCAAGAGUAACUCAGCAUAGAUGCUGGUAGAAGGUUGUAAGUACCAAUAGUUGAAGUGCACACAUAAGUUGGUUCCGACACCUCCAUUAUCAAUGAAAAAGAAAGAAACUUUAAACUACUUUAAAAUGUCAAGUUAUGUGUGGAAAACAUUAAGAUACAAGUUUAUAUUUUAAGUAUACAGGAGUUGUGCAUAAUCAACUUAUUUUCAAUGUUACAGGAACAAAAGAAAAGAAAAGACAAACAUGUCAACAACUACAUUUAACUGAUUCAUACCCUUAAGUUUCAGAUAGAAUGUACGGAACAAAACUGCCACUAAAUAUGAGAUGGUCCCUCAAAUAGUUGACCUUUUGGAAAGCAUUUUUCAAAUUCUUCCAGAAAUGAACAACACAUCUGAAGUUCACAUGUGAGAUGAAAAAUGGUACUUACAAUGCGAAGUAUUACACUACUUACUCAUCUCCAGCUUUCAUUUUUCAAUUGACCAUCUUGACAAUUCAAACCAUGUACACAUUUCUUUAUUCUGUGGUUUGUCAAAAUUCGUGCAACACUCUUCAAUAAAAAUUUAAUGAAUUAAUUUAUGAAGUACGCAUUUAGCAGAGCCAAUCAUCUAUUUAGUGGAUCUUCAUCUUGGUAUUGAUCUCUUUAAAGAGAGCUUUCAAACAACUUCACCGGUCAUUCCCUUUUACCCUCUUGAAUAUCAUCUUCUACAUCUGAACUGUCGCUACCUUCCUUACUAUCCAUUUUGAUAAGACUGAUGUCACCUUUUGGAGUUUCUUUGCAUAAGGAUUCAGUUUCUUCGUCGUCCUCUUCACCCCUCACAUCAGAGUAGGCAUAACUAGAAUGAAAACUUCAUGUGUCAGUCAAAAGCAAUAAAUGGUAAAGGUUGAAGGGUAGAAGAAUCCAGAAAACUGAAUCUUAAAAACACUCUAAAACAUUUCGCAUCUAGUUAAAAUGUCUGACUGUAAUUUGAGAAAAGAAAUUUUCUGCCUUCCAACAACAUGCAAAACUAGCUUUCCCUGUAUUGUUACCCUAAUGAAUUGCCACAGUUUAAAAGUAACUUUUGAGAAAUGGUAAGGUUAAGAGAUUGGUAUUGUCAGGAAAAACAUGGAGCAGGUGCGAGCUUUUGGAUAUAGGUGUUGAAGGCAUAAUUAAGUACUCUCUAACAGCUUAAGCGUUCAGAUGAAUGGUCACACUUUAACAUAGUACAGAGCAGGCAGAGAGAUCCUGGGUUCGAGUCUUACCGCCACCCAACAUCAAAAAGAAUUUCCACGUGCAUGGCUCAUCAAAAAGAAUCAAGCCCGCACGUGAGGGGCAUGUCGAAGACAUAAUUAAGUAAAUAAAAGUGUGUUCUCUGACAGCUUAAGCUUUUAGAUGAGAUGGUCACAUAUAGGGGUGGCAAAAUGGAUCAAAGAAACAAUUAAUUACCCAUAUUAUCCACUAAAAAAUUGGUUGGAUAAUGAACUUUUUAAAAACAAGUCAAAUAUGGAUAAGAACCAUAUUAUCCAUUUAGAAAAUAGAUAACCAAUGAGUAACCAAUAGAUAACCCAAUGAGUCUAAUUUUUACAUUUGUAAAGCCUCAAAUUGGGGUUUCCUCAAGUUAGGGAGACUGAGAAUUCUCCCAAAAGUGAUCAUAUACAAGAAGUCAUGGAUAAUACGCUAGUUAACACAUUCUUUAUCCAUAUUAAACAUGGGUCGGGUCGGAUAAUUGAUCCGUUUUUACUACUCGUUUACGACCCGAACCAUAUCCGACUCAACCCGCCCGUUUGCCCCUCCUAGUCACACACUUCAACAAUAGGAUGCAUUCUCUUUUUCAAAAGAAUACAUUCAAUCUUUCAGGCAAUAAAUAUCUAACCAUAUUUUCUCUUCCUUCACCAAAUGCUUUACUUGAUUACGCAAGAUAAAGACCAAAGGCUACUUAUGAUUGUUCCAGAAUACCUACCGUUGUGAACUCUGAGAUGGUGCCCAUAGGUAGCAAAUGACACACAGCAGUCCAAAUGCAAGAAUAUCCCAGAAAGCAGUAAUGAUCCAAGCUCCCUGCCACCUCUCAUUGAAGGGAUCUGUUGCUUUGAAGUAAACCUGCACGAAAGGAACUAGAUGAAGUAAGAUUUUGCAGGUUGCAAGAAUCCCUACAACAUUCAUCCAGAAUUAAAGAGAAGGCCGUCAACAUUCAGCAUAUUAUUCAGAAUACUUGGAUAUGAUGAUGGGGAAAAAUGAAAGAGAAUAUAACAACCAAAUGGAACUGGUAACAUAAGUAAAGCUUCUUCUAAAACGAAUUCCAUCUCCCAGGCGAUUACUGGUGCCAUAGAUCAAACAAAUUGGUACAUCUUUUCUAUUGAUACAGUAAAUCCGAACACAUAAAGCCCCCAUUUAUCCAGUUGCCAACAGUGGCUUUUCCACGUGGAGAAUCAAACCCCCAAUCUCAGGGUUGUAAGUGGUGGGGUUUUUCCCAACUAGGCUAUCCCUCUCUUGUCAACUGGCCAUAGAAGGAGGCUUCAAAGAGAAGGUCUGACAGAAUGACGAGUUUCCCUCAAUGAAGAAGAAUAGCAACCACAAGGGCAUACACUACUUACAGCUUACUUGGUAAUGCAUCUUUAAUGAGCAAAUUGUAGUGCAAAUUAAUAAGGGACUUCCAAUUAGCUGGCUGACAGAAGAAAUACUAUGGAAACAACAUUACCAAAUCCCCUUAAAAUAAAAAUUACUGAGAACCCCCCUUUAGAAUUAAUUACUAUGUUAAAGUUGCAUAGCUCAUAGUAAACAGGUAAAAUAGAGGAGAGCGACAACGAGACAAUAAUGAAAUCUUUGGUUACUUCUAAUUCAAUACUCUCUGGCUAUCAAAAGAUAAGAAGUCUUAGUAAUUCAGGUGAAAUAUGUUAGCUCUAUUGACUACUAUUGAUUUUACGUCUCUUGGAAUUCUUCAGAUGACAGCCUCGCAGCGCCAAACAAACUGACCCUACCCAAGCCUUCUCCAGGCAAAAUCACAGCCAACUGAGCCCGAUUGUAGCAUGUUUUAAUCAAAACAACAGGAUCAUAUUUUUCCGUAUAAGAGAUUUCUAGCUUCUCCUUUUUGCUUCGCUAAAUUAGUUAGCCUAGAAUGCCCGAAAUCACAUUCUAAGUGCACCAUCCCUAUGAGAAAUUAUGACUUGAGUAUCUUCCAGAGACAAGUCAACGAUUGUUCACUUAUCUGAAACAAUUUAUUCGUCUCUUAGGUGGCACUAAGUUGAAAGCACAAGAGAUUUGUUAAAGAGGGGUUCCUGUGUUAUAUAAUUUUUUAAAUAAUUUUCAGCAACUACCCGAUAGUAACCACACAGUUCAAAUUUCAGUGGUGCGUUGAUUUAUGAUGAAGUUUGCCACCAUCUCAUCUAAAUGAUCAAGCUGAUACAGAGAACACACCUUUAUUUACUUAAUUAUGUCUUCAACUCCCCACGCCCCGCCCUGCCCCCAACACCCUGCGUAGCAUGUGAAGUGUUUUUGAUAAUAGGUGGUGGUGAGAUGCAAACUCAGGACCUCUGCCUACUUUGAUAAUUGAUACUAUGAUAAAAAAUUGACUUUGGGUCAAACUCAACCCCAAAAUGUAGAUCAUGAGGUGAAAAAUUACCCAAGACUAUAAAAGGAGACGGAAUCCACAUUCCACAACUGAUGUAGGGGAACUCACCCCCCCCCCCCCCCCCNNNNNNNNNNNNNNNNNNNNNNNNNNNNNNNNNNNNNNNNNNNNNNNNNNNNNNNNNNNNNNNNNNNNNNNNNNNNNNNNNNNNNNNNNNNNNNNNNNNNNNNNNNNNNNNNNNNNNNNNNNNNNNNNNNNNNNNNNNNNNNNNNNNNNNNNNNNNNNNNNNNNNNNNNNNNNNNNNNNNNNNNNNNNNNNNNNNNNNNNNNNNNNNNNNNNNNNNNNNNNNNNNNNNNNNNNNNNNNNNNNNNNNNNNNNNNNNNNNNNNNNNNNNNNNNNNNNNNNNNNNNNNNNNNNNNNNNNNNNNNNNNNNNNNNNNNNNNNNNNNNNNNNNNNNNNNCCCUCCCCUUUUCAGCUCACCCAACCUUCCAAUUGGAGCAUGGACAACAUAAUAUGCGGGCCGAAUAUCACAUAACCAAGAAUUGUGAUGGGCCUAGCUCUGAUCUAUGUUGGAGUUAUGACCAUCUCAUCUAAAAACAUAAACUUUCAGAGAGAGCAUAUUUUUAUUUACUUAAUUAUGUCUUCAACAGUUUAUAUUUCUAGAUGGAUUAUCAGCGAUGUGUUAUUGGAAUGUAAUAUUUGUUCAAUUUCAUGAGGUCUUUUCCUCAAACAUAUACAUCAUUCAACAGAUGCCAGAAACAGAAACAGCAUUUGCAUAGACGAGAAAACUUUUACGACUUCUUUGUGCUCAAUUUUGGAUAAGGAAUGAAACUAGAGGAUGCACAGACACUGACGCAGCGCAAGGAGUUUGCUCCUGCUGUAUUUUUAACUCACAGAAUAAGCAGAGAAGAAAUGAAUGAGUCUUAAGAGUUAUUAAUUUAUUUAUUUAAAAAGUCACAAGAGAUAUGUCGUUAAUAUUUUGAUUUCACGAAAAAUAUCAAUUUGAUAUUUUCAGGAAAUCACAGCAGAGAAGGUUACAAGAGAAGUGUCAUUAAUAUUCUUCUCAAUUUCAUGAAAGUACUGACUUGAUGAUUUCAGGAGGUCACAGCAGAGAAGCAGUAGUCUGAUCAGUCAGGAGUAAGAACAAUCUCUAAGGUUUUUUUAGCAUUAACCAUACACUUCAUUUAUUACUUAAAUAUAAAAUCAUCCCCUGACAAAGAGAAACAUUGAUGAGUGUUAUGAUAUCACAUAUUUCUAGUGAAUGAGAUCCCACCCUAAAGGUAUGCACUCUUUUUGGUACUUUUCACAAAAUCAUUUGUCCUUUUUCUUAACAGUAUCACACCAACCUCUUUAGUCGCAAAACUACUAAAUGGUAGGUUUUGACAUGUAAAAAUUUCCCAAAGAAAAGAAGGGUCAGUAUUUCACUACCCAAUAAAAACAAAUUUCAUUCUCCGUAACUAAUAGCAUCUCAAAAGUUAAACCAUGUCUUCUAUCUCUUUUCUCCCAAUGGGAUCUUGAAUGCAGUGAAGGGUAAUCACGGAGAGAACAGAUGAUGAUCUGGGUAGAUGUGGUGAAACUAGUUUUCUGGGGUAGUAUUUCCACAUUAAUCUUGCCAACAUUUUGAGCAGAUAUAUAACAUAUUGCUGGUUUUGCAAGCUUAUGGGAAAAUGGAAUGAAAAAUGAGAAUAGGAAGCAAAAGUGCAGCGGGUGUAAAUAUUUGGGUUGAAGAAUGCAGAAAACUCUAAGAGAAUUCAGUAGAUGUUUUUUUCCCUAAGUAGUAAUAUCUUCAGGAACUUUUUAAAAUACUUUUCCUUAUUUUGUGAUAGUAGUUUAUUUGCAGUAAGACAUUUAGCGACCCUUUUAAGCAAGGAAAACACAAUAGAGCCAAUUUCUAUACCCAUUAAACUCCUCAUCCAUGAUGCAGUUGACCGCACCUCAAUCCAUGAAAGUCUUUCAAGGUAUAUAUAUGCACAUGUCAAGCCACUUGAAAGCAUUAAGAAACAAGUUUACCAAAUUGUGACAAGUUACUCUUCAGAAAAGACAAACAAAUUGCGGAACAAGCCUCAUGGAGAUCAAAAUUAACCAGACCCUAUUGAUUUAACUUAUAAAGUUCAUGCAUCAAAUACAAACCUCGUAUCCUAUCCAUGCAACUGAAGCAAUGACAGUGAUUGCUAAUGCAUUUGAAAAUUGUCUGUAAAUAUCCAACUUCACAGAACUCCUCUUUGCCUGACGAAAACAAAAUCUUGUGACAAUCAAAUAUUUUAUGAGAAAAAGGAGAUGAGACAAAUGUAAAAUGUAUUUGUACACAAAUUCAAUACAAACAGUAUGAUGAUACCUGCAGCUGCUCCAGUGUCUUGGAAAGAGAAGUGAAAAUCCAUAAGAUCAAAAAUGCAUCUAACAAUGCAUCAGGAAGGACCAACAGGACUCUUGCUCGCCCUGCAAUGUCAUUUAUUGUACCAACGUAUUCGGUAAUGUUUAGCAGUAUAGAUGCCACAAAAUAAGUUAUUCCAAGAAGGAGCACCUUUGUGGUGAGACCACCAAGGGUAGGACGAACAACACCAUAACCCAUUGAGAUAGAAAGAAUAAGAAGGCGUGAAAAAGUUCUCCUUAUAGCUCCAAUUAUAACAACCCAAGUCGUGAGUCCCACAGGCCUUGUACCAGUAUUGUUGAAAUAAGCAUAAUCAAAGUACCAAAAUAUCAUCUCCAAUAACCCAAGGGCAAUAACCCCAGUGAUGCAGUAUUGGAGCGGCAGAACGUCCUGCCAGUAUCUGACAUACUGAAGACACCAGAUUCCAGCAAGAAGUAUAUAUGCUACGGUCAUUAUAGCAUAAAACUUCAUUAGGGGUGACAUUCGACCAGGCAAAUAUCCCUCGGGAUUUUUCCACACUGUCCUUCCAGACACCUUCAUUCCCUUAAGCUUAGGAUCACAUGAGAUGAAGAAGAGGUUAUACAUCCCAGUCUUUUUUAUGUAAACCUCCUCCUUCUUCAAUUGGGCUGACAACUGCCUUCCUCUAAAGUUAACAUUCAACACCAUCGGCCAAUUAGCAUCUGUUGCUGAAGGUGUUCUAAUGACUUCCCCUUGUUUGCAACCUUCAAGUUUAGCAAGAUCAGUGGUGCAACAAAUGGACCUUUGUCCACCAUAUGGUGAACCACCAAUAUUGUCACGGUCUGCAGCCUCAAAUAUUAUGAUCUGAACUAACCCACUAUUAUAUGCCAUAGUUGGAUUUCGGUUUGCAGCUGCUUUGCUCCUCCAAAAUGUGAUAUUAUCAAACCUGUAUAUGUUCAAAUUAUCAGAUACUAAUGCAAUGGGUUACAAACAAUGUCACUGAGCCAAGAAAAAGCUAACAGUGAUAACUGUGGCUUGUUUUAUUUUUCCCACAAUCUAAUCACAGAAAGCUGGUGCAAUUCACUAUGUUCAGCUUGCUCUCGACAUGUAUUUUAGAAAAACCAUUCUACUGUAUUGUAUCAUAUUUCCCGUUGACAGCAUCGCUUUCACACUCAAGCCAUUAUAUUAGGCAUGCAUUACAAAUAUAGCACUGAUCAAUCCAGCCAAACAACUUCAAUAACUAGCCCAUAGCUAACUUUAAAAUAAGAUACUCCCUGUGUCCCAUUUUAUAAGGCACUCCUACUAUUUAGGAACCAAACAAUUUCUACAUUUGAUUAUGAUGUUUUAGACAUUUCUAAAUAUUUUAACUAUAGAGAUUUGUGAUUAUAGAGAUCUGUGAUUUCUAGUACUUUUAAAUAGCUUCUAGUUAGUGAUUUUUUUUGGUGUGCGGGGGAAUUAACGUCUGAAUUCACACCAAAAAUGUGUAUGCCUUGACUCUUGUACAUUUUUUAAGGACUCUCAUACUCCUUUUCAUGUCAUUCUUUUCUGGACAGAGGGAAUAGCUAAUUUGCUCAAACUAUUUAGAAUUAACUCUAAACUUGACUCAA
RNAcentral lists this long non-coding RNA (21086 nucleotides) under Nicotiana benthamiana. The record is from RNAcentral. Lineage: Eukaryota; Viridiplantae; Streptophyta; Magnoliopsida; Solanales; Solanaceae.